GAAUAACCCCAACAACCUUCGCAUAAUUGGAUCCAACUUCUUCCCAAAGGUAAUGGAGGAUUUCUGAAAGUUUAUCUCCUGGCCAGAUAAUAUAUAAUCGUUACUAACCUUUCCCAUUGUUGUGAUGUAUUUUUUUUAAUUUUUUUUUUGGACAACAUGUUGUGAUGUAUAAGAAAUGCCCUUUGUACUGUUUUUGUGAAACUUAUAUGUACUGUUCUGGGACCUCACAAGAAUAUAUUUCACAAGUCAUACUUUUAAACUAUUUAAAAGAAAGUGACUAAGUAUA
RNAcentral lists this long non-coding RNA (286 nucleotides) under Capsella rubella. RNAcentral's name for it is "long non-coding RNA (CRUB_LNC002276)". The record is from RNAcentral. Lineage: Eukaryota; Viridiplantae; Streptophyta; Magnoliopsida; Brassicales; Brassicaceae.